Long non-coding RNA from Triticum dicoccoides, 2506 nucleotides. RefSeq lists it as uncharacterized. Lineage: Eukaryota; Viridiplantae; Streptophyta; Magnoliopsida; Poales; Poaceae. The record is from RefSeq and is a predicted model, not a curated record. The transcript is spliced from 2 exons.
UGCACACCGCUCUGUUCCGUUUUCCUCUUCUUCGAUACGAAAUUUUCCCCACCGCCGCCGCUUAGGUCAUAUCCUACCGCCGCCGGCCACCACGGAGCAUGCCCCAUCCGCUGCUGGACGCCCCAAUCCAGAGCAACCUAGAGGGCUAUCGCGCGUGCGCCGAAUAGUUUGCUCAGAGCCGGCACAAGCUGUUGGCAUCCCCAUGGGAGCGGAGACGAACCUCUCGUCGCCGCAGCUAGAUCCGACCAAGUCGCGGGAGUCGGUGACCCUACUCAACGACGAUCAGAACUGGAUGUUGGCGCUGCGGGAGUCUGUGUCGUUCGGGCGGUUCCUAGCCGAGCCACUCGAGUGGGAUACUACUGGGCAUGUCUCUCGCUGGCAACGAUGGCGCAUGUCCGAUCACCGUCGACAGCUGAGCUUGAUCUGCCAGUACAUGCCGUGGCGUUCAGACUUCAAUCUGUGUCCUCCAGCUGCAGUGUUGCGCACAUUGGAAGUUCUGGACCAGCCCAGAGUUGUAAUCCAUGCUUGCCUGCGGCUCGUUCGUCACUAAGUGCAACACAUAUUGGAAAAGCCGAUCUCUAUAUGAUAAGUUCAUCCUAUAAUCUCAUUAAAUAAUUGAUUUAUUUGUGGGUAUCAAUAUAGAAUUGAAACCAAUAUGUCAUCCUAUUAGGACAGUUAAACUAAAUAAAGCAACAGUAGUUGUCUGUAGUAAGGAAGAUGUAACAUUAGGCAGUAGCAGUCGACGGCUACGUAAAGAGGUGUGGCAGCAGCAACUUCAGUGUUCGUCCGGACAUCUUUUUUUGAGAAUAUAAGAUUUGCUUUUCAAUUGUUCUCCACAAUGUAGCCCUUAAUGAUAGGAAACCUUGCAUGAAAGACUCUGAAUAAGUGUUGAUGUGCAAAAGCAUUAUCACUAGGAAAUAUUUUUGGGAACAUAUAGGCACACAAGAAGGUGCCUCUUUGUUUGGCCAUUUCCUUUUGUGAGUCGUGGGUUACUUCUAGACAAGGCUAGAGUGUCACAACUCUUAGGCAACUGUUCAAUUGUAUGUCAACAAAUGAACGAACUGGAAAAAUCAUGCAGAUACAGCUACAUGUACUAUUAGUUCUAGUAUAAAAUUAUGUGUCUCACAUUUCAGUCGCAGCAGAUGUUAAAGUUAAUUCGUAGUGGAGAUAUGCAUCAGUAUUUUAAUCUUGAAGAUUUAGAAGAAUGAUUACUGCAACAUAGUGAUGUUCUUGUUCAGUCAUUGGUUCUGGCAUCUAAUCCUGAGAUCUAGCAGUGUUAUAAUAUCACCACUUCUUGUCCUAAUAUGUCCAUCUGAAUUGUAUAUACACGUAAUCUUUCUUAUAAAGUGUCAGAAUGUUUCUUACAUACAGUAGUUGAAAACCUCAUGUACAACCUGGCAUAAGUGAGCAUUUAGAGUAAUUGACUAAAAUUCAUGCCAAAUGAGGCUCAAUAAUGCUUGACUAACAGAAAAUCCCAGUAGAACUCUAGGUCAGGCUGGGACCUCCCAGUAUUGGAAAUCUAUGUACUUGUUCUCACUUUGCAGCAGCUGGAAUUAGGAAAGUUUGAUGGAACAAAAUUACUUUAUCACAGUGUAAUAAGCUGACUUGCUGGCCAAAUAAACUGGCCUGCUAAUCAAAAUAGUGUCUUCUUUGACUAUCUACAACUACUAUGGGUAAAAUAAGAUAUAAGCAUUGUUUAGUUUUCUAACAAGAGAACAAUGACAUGGAGGGCGAGUAACAAACCUUUCGUACUCGGCACACUGAACUCAGUACAUGUGCGAUUGUCGGCUGCUACUUUCUUGAUUAACUACAUAGCAAAAGUGGAAAGAAGAAAAAGAGGUGAAUAUAACUCUACUGUUCGUGACUUGUGAGCAUGUCAUGAUCUCUUAGAGUAUGUUUGGUUUCUGUCAUCGGAUGAAUGUAAUGGGUCGGUUCCAUCCCGUGUUUAGUUAGUCGAAGGAAUCGGAAUAUGAAACAGCAUAUUCGCUGAUUAUGCCGAACCGAGGCGUUCCUCGAAAACGAGCGGACCACGCAGAACCACCUCUCUCGCGUGCCUCUCCCCGUCAGCGCCGCGUCCGUCCCGCACCUCUCCCUCUCUCUAUCUGAGCCGCCGCCGCCCAAAACACUUCUCUCGCUCUCCGGCGGCGGCUGUACCUCGCGUCCCAGUCGUCUAUCCUCUCCCAUGGCGUGCAGCAACAGCUUGGAGGCGAUCUAGCAGCAGGCGGCAGGCUAGUAGCCAGCGGAGCAACAUAAACAGAGAGCAGGACGCGGUUGCCUGUUCCUGUCGUCAUCGGUGGCCGCCGCGUCGUCCCAACGGAUUGGCGGGUCUUCUUUUCCCGCGGCUUGUUCCUGUCGUCGCUGCUGUUGGUGCGAAGCAGAGCACAAGCAGGACGACAGUGUCUCGCCGCUAUUGGUGCCUGACACCGCUCGGUUUGAGCGAUUUGCCUGACUUCAGAUUGAUUUCCGGGAGCACCUACCUUGAUACUAGUUGAUACAUUUGAAUUGA